This 75-nucleotide transfer RNA is filed under the name Tardiphaga robiniae. RNAcentral's name for it is "tRNA-Glu". It matches the Rfam family "tRNA". Rfam says of the family: Transfer RNA (tRNA) molecules are approximately 80 nucleotides in length. RNAcentral also lists the same sequence under 33 other names. The record is from RNAcentral. Lineage: Bacteria; Pseudomonadati; Pseudomonadota; Alphaproteobacteria; Hyphomicrobiales; Nitrobacteraceae.
GCUCCGUUCGUCUAACGGUUAGGACAUGGCCCUCUCAAGGCUAAAAUAAGGGUUCGAUUCCCUUACGGAGCGCCA